Molecule: ribosomal RNA, 521 nt
Filed under: uncultured bacterium
Lineage: Bacteria
Description: bacterial SSU rRNA
Rfam family: Bacterial small subunit ribosomal RNA
Source: RNAcentral
AGAGUUUGAUCCUGGCUCAGGACGAACGCUGGCGGCGUGCUUAACACAUGCAAGUCGAGGGGGGUGGGGCAACCCACUCACCGGCGAACGGGUGCGUAACACGUGAGCGACUGGUCCUACAGGUGGGGGAUAGCCGGCCCAACGGCCGGGUAAUACCGCAUACGUUCCCUUGGGGGCAUCCCUGGGGGAGGAAAGCCUAUAUGGCGCCUGAGGACGAGCUCGCGGCGGAUUAGCUUGUUGGCGGGGUAACGGCCCACCAAGGCGACGAUCCGUAGCUGGUCUGAGAGGACGAUCAGCCACACUGGGACUGAGACACGGCCCAGACUCCUACGGGAGGCAGCAGUGGGGAAUCUUGCGCAAUGGGCGAAAGCCUGACGCAGCGACGCCGCGUGAGGGAAGAAGGCCUUCGGGUUGUAAACCUCUUUCAGGAGGGACGAAGCCACUCGGGUUAAUAGCCCAGAGGGUGACGGUACCUCCAGAAGAAGCCCCGGCUAACUACGUGCCAGCCGCCGCGGUAAUAC